Molecule: long non-coding RNA, 6137 nt
Filed under: Physcomitrium patens
Lineage: Eukaryota; Viridiplantae; Streptophyta; Bryopsida; Funariales; Funariaceae
Description: long non-coding RNA (PPAT_LNC010648)
Source: RNAcentral
AGUCGUAAGCCGAGGUAAGCUUAGUGCUACUUCUUUGUUUUCUUUGUUUUUAUUAUUUAUUUAUGAAGAAUUGUGAUUGAGAGAAGUAUUGUUGAAACUGUGAUUAGAAUAUUAUAGAAUAUGACUUUGGAUUGAUCGUUUUGGAGAAAAUCUGUGAACUUGAGAAUUGAGAUUAUCGAAUUGUGUUGUGUUAAAUGAAGAUAUUGAAUUUUGUGUGAUGAAUUGAAAAACUGAAUAUAAUAAGUAAGUUGGAGAUUAGUAAUUGAAUAUAUAUAAUCUGCAAAGAGAGUAAGUGGAAGAUGAACUGAUAAGAAUAUGGAAGUAUUGUUGAAUUGAUAGUUGUAGAAUAGAUUAUGUGUUAAAUUAAGAUGGAAGUAGUAAGCCUUGGUAUUUUGUGGUUUGAUAAUUGAUUUCACAUAGCUAGAAUACAAUCAAUUGUGACUUUAAUAGAUCCAAUUCAUAUAAUCAGUCUUUCUCGUAUUCGAACUCAUGUCUAUUAGUUCAAUUACUUUGGUAUACUGAAGCUUGAAUACAACAAGAACAUUAUUUUGGCGCCACUGCUAGGAAAAUGAUAACAAUAUAAAAUGUUAGAAAUUGAUUAUACGAAAAGAAUAAUAGAUUAUGAGUGAUAAUUAUGAAGGAAAGGAUUAUUAAAGAAUUAAUCUACAAGCAAAAGAAAGAUAGGAGUGAUUACGGAUAAGAAAUCUCCUAUGGGAAUGAUAAAAAGGAAUUGUAAGUCUAAGUAAAUCGAAAAGAUGAAAAAUUCAAAUUCAAAUAGCAAAGAGACUAGUGAUAACACCAAUGGCCGUGGGAGUGCUAGAAGUAUCAAUUGCAGUACAAAUGGGAGCAGUAGGAGAUCGAACUACAAGUGUGGUAUCAUUAUCUACUUUUAGUGGUUGGCCGAGCUCUGAUCUCGAUCAUCAUAUAUUUCAAUUCUUGACAGCCUACGUGGCUAAUAAUGGUAGAACUUAAGACAUUUGAUUGAAAUGGUUGCCAACAACUUUAAAAGAUAUAACUUUUGAAUGAUAUAUUUGGCAAUCAUUGGGUAGAUUUUUCAAUUAAGAGGCCUUGAGGAAUGCCUUUCUAAUCCAUUUUAGACCAAUUCGAUUUGAAGAUCGGCUUUGAGAAAGUUUUAUGAAUAACAGGAUGUUUGCGGAGGAAUCAAUAAAGUCCUAUUAUGGUUGGAUUGUGGAUAUACUUCAUAAAUGGUCAAAUAAUCAAAUGCGAGAUGCGUUUAUAUUGUCAAUAUUAAUUAACGGUUUGCAUCCACCAGAAUUGAAAAUGUUUGUUAAAGAGGCUUGACCAACUACAGUAGAGGCAUUGUUCGCACGAGCAAAGGUGUGGGAAGAAUGUCAUUAUGACAAAUUAUUAACAGUGGAGGCCAGGAUGAUUCCAAGUUUAGGAAGCCAACAAAUACAACUGGAAAAUGUAUCGAUGGAUAAUUAUCCACAAAUAGCUGACUCCAACAUAAAGAAUGAAUUGUUACAAAAAUCAAUUAAUGCUACACCACUCCAAGCAAUAGCGCCAAUAAUAAUGACACCUUAUUUUAAAUCACCAACCUAUCAACAACCAGAGUUGUUCACAAAUAUGACUGUUAAAGAUCCAAAUGAAGCCUUAUUAUUGAAUCUAACAAAGAAGAUGGAAGAAUUGGCCAUGAAUUUGGCUAAAAAUAAGGAGAAAUGAUAUAAACCUUCUAAUACGAGACCUAAUGUAUGGUAUAAUAAUUGUAAGGGACAAAGUCAUUUUGAUAUGGAAUAUCCAUCAUCUAGACAAACGGGUAUUCAAUGUACAUUUUGCGAAGGAAAGUACCCUACCAAAAACUAUUGACAUUUAUAAAGGCAACAACAAUUCAAUAAUCAAACCAUGAUCCCACCCACUCAGUGGAAAGUCAAUCAAGUUUAAACAAGAAAUACGUAUGGAUGGAAUGGAAAUCGAUCUAAUUGACAAAAUCAAACAUUCAAUUACUUUCAAAGUUUCAAUUUUAAUCAGGAGUCUACAUCAAAUCCCCUGAACUACGGGAAGGAGUAGUAGAGGUAUCAGCAAUAUGCUCCAUUGAUGUCAUCAAACCAAGUACCCUUCGUACCAACGAGACAACCAAGAUCAUUUUCUUAUCCUAUAUGGAACAAGCCUAGUAGGUAUAUACUGGUGAAAACAUCCAAUAUGCCAGAUGGACGUGCAAGAAGUUCACUUUGUUGUUUUCGUUGCAGACAAAUUGAUCAUUAUGCCAGUGAAUGUUCCUAUCUCAGAGCUAGUGACGAUUAUGCACUAUGUGUAAAUUGUAAGCAAUCGGGACAUACUUAUCAGCAAUAUAAUACUCCAUUCAAUUUCAAUAAUUGAAAUCAGCAAAUCCAAAGCCAAGGAAAAAUAGAGGAGAUAAAUCAAGGUUCUCAAGAUUGACCAGUUCAUUGGGUAGAAGUAGUCUAAGUUGUCCUUAUAAGAAGUCAGCAAAAAGAGAAAGGACCAAUUCAACAUUUGGGUGAUCCUGAAGCAAAGGACCAAUUGGACUCAAUUACAGGGCCAUCCAAUUCAGGUCCUGAAAUGGAUCCCUUACUUAGUAUAAGACCUGAAUUGGUUGUGUAUCCUAUUGAUGUAUCAAUUACAAAGGCUUCAGUUCUAUUUCAAGUUGUUUUGUUCUUUACACAGUUUUAGAAAAUGGUCUUUCCAUUGAAAGAUUCUCUCGGAGACAUGAAUUCCAAAGAAUUAAUAUCAGCCCAAUUGGGAGAACAAUCUUACCUGUUGAAAGAACCAAUUUUACAAGCUCUGUCAAAUUUAAUUCCAGUAGCUUUAUCAAUUUUUAAUAUAGAAAAAAUCAAUUUACUUGCGUUGGUGUCUAGGACUGGAAAGAAGAAACGGACAUUGAAAAUUACCACUAAUACAAAACCAUAUGAUAUUCUAAAAGAUUUGGAUACCAUACCACCCACGAUCUCUAUGAAGCAACUAUUAGUAGUAGCACUUAAGUGUCGAACAAUCUUGAAUUCCUCAUUAAUUCAUCGCUGAUCUGAAAAUAAAGAAAUCUGAGAAGUAAGUUUGAAUUCCGAUUUGGAUGCACUAACGAUUUAUGUCUCAAUUGAUGGAGUGUUAUUAUUGGGAGUGCAAGUAGAUGGAGGAUCUUUUUUAAAUCUUAUGAAUGCCGCAACAAUGGAGGAGUUGGAUUUGGAUCACUCAUUGCCUAUUACAGUAGUUUUGAGAAUGGCUGACUCCAGUCGAGUUAAAUCUAUGGAUAUUUUACGAAGUAUUGAUAUAGUAAUUACGGGGAUUACCUAAAAAAAUGAUUAUAUUAUUUUUUGAUUGCAAAGCUCUAUAUUUUCAUAUCCAAUUUUAUUGAGGCGACCAUGGUUGUAUCAAGCUAAAGCUCGAAAUGACUGGGGCCAUGGUACAAUGACAAUUGGGAAAGGUAAUGAUAAAAUUAUGCUUCAAAUAUAUCCUAUCUAAUAUCAUGGAAAAACUCAAUUUGCCAAUUCACAAUUCAUGUCGGAUUGUAAAGAUGAGUCUGAAGAAAAAGAACUUGGUGCACCCAACCCAAUUUAUGUUGAUACAAGGCAAGUUGUUGAGUACACUAGAAUGAACUACCUAUGCACGGGACUAGGAGAGUACUUAGUUCUUCCAGAUGUUAUUGACAAUUCUAAUCAUAUGAUUGUAUAUUGGAUGAAUAGACAGGAUGUUAAUCACGUUAGUGCUAUGGAAUUGGAGUUGAAAAGUUCUAAUGUGUCGGAUUUUAUGAAAGAUUGUCGAAUUGAGCAGAACAUUAUUCCAGAGAGUCCUAAAAUUCCACGAUGUCAACCAAUUAAUUUAGGUACAGGGGAGGCUUACCAAAUCAUUCAGAUUUACGACGAUAUAAAAGGCAAGGAGAAAGAAAUUUGAGUGGAUUACUUUUUAAUGCAUAAAACUGCUUUUGUAUGAUUGUAUGCAGAUUUGAAAGGAAUUCCAGCUGAAGUUUGUGAGCAUCGAAUUAUAUUGAAGGAGAACGCUACACAAAUACACCAAAGACAAUAUUGACUUAAUCCAAAAUACUCACUUAUGGUAAAAGAAGAAUUGGAUAAACUCUUGGAGGUUGGAUUUAUCUAUCCAGUUCCUUUCAGUGAAUGGGUUUCAUCAAUUGUUAUGGUACUAAAAAAGAAUGAAAAAAUUCGCAUCUGUCAAGAUUUUCGUAAAUUAAAUGUGGCUACUAAGAAGGAUUAUUUUCCUUUACCAUUCACGGAUAGUAUAUUGGAUGCUGUCGCUGAAGAUGAAUGUUAUUCAUUUUUUGAUGGAUUCUCCAGUUAUAAUCAAAUUAAAAUUGUAAAAGAAGACUAAUUAAAAACUACUUUUAGUAUGGAUUGGAAGAUCUUUGCUUAUAAGGUUAUGCCGUUUGGGCUUUGUAAUGCACCAGCUACAUUUCAAAGGGUAAUGACGCAAGCAUUUCAAGAUUAUCUACAAAUUUUAAUGGAAAUAUUUUUAGAUGAUUUUUGUACAUUUAGUACGAGAGCUAGGCAUUUAGAAUGUCUAGGUCAAUGUUUGAAUCAAUGUGACAAAUAUGGAAUUUCUUUAAAUUCAAAAAAGUACCAAUUUGGUUUAUUUUUUGGUAAACUGUUGAGUCAUAUAGUUUCGAUGGCAGACAUUACUACAGAUCCAGAUAAAAUAAAGAUUAUAAUAGAAUUAAAGCAACCAAACACUAUUACGGGUGUUCCAAAAAAAGUUCAAGUACAAUGGCAUGAGCCUUAUCAAGUUAUUGACGGUUUUCCAAAUGGUUCUGUACAAUUGAAAGAUUUUAUGGAUACUAAAUUUAUGGCACGGAUCAAUGGCAAUCGGCUUAAACUUUACUAUACAUAAAUCUAGGACAGGUUUCCUGUUACAAAAGAGAGAAUCGACCCAAUUGAUUGGACCAUAGUAAGAAGUAGGAGGGAGGCUCUUGACAAGCAUCGUGUUUUCUUUUGUGGUUAUGGAGAAGUGAAUAGCAAAAAAGGAAAAGAUGGUAAAUAUGGUGUCCAAAAAAGUAAGGAUGGAGACCAAUUGGAAGGAACGACAAGAGCAGAUGCAAGUAGAAGUUGCGAUGUUGCAGACUAAAAUAGCCAUAUUAGCAAAGGAGGCCAAUAACAUAGUGCAGACCAAUAUGCCAGUUUCAAUGAUAACACCUUCGAAAAUACCUUUGAAACCGACUGAACAAUUGAAGAAGAUGUUGGAAGAGCGUGACAACCAAAUUGUCCGACUUGAGACUCAAGUACGGAAAUUGGAUUUGUUGAAUGAAGAUCUGACGACACAUUGGAAUGAAAAACCCUCGAACAUUAAGGCACACAAUGAAGAUGUAGUAGAGGAGAAGGUCACCAAUUCAAAGGGUGGUAAGCCAACCCCAUUGACUGAAGAAGCCAAUGCUACUAUGUCUUUAUAAAUUGAGGCUAAAUAAUAUUUACGAGGGCGCUGCACAAUUAAGAGUGGGGCUAUAUAGAAUAGGCAAAUAAACUUUGUGGUAAGUUACUGGUUGGUUAUUGAGAACCUUGAAAAUUAGACUUAUGGUUAGACAGUUUAGUUAGUAAUAGUAGGUUAUUAGUGGAACAAAUGGUUAAGAAUUCAAAGGAUUAUAACCUUUGAAAUCUGCUGGCCGAUAGUCCAUCUUUUGAUAGGAUAAAGAGAUUGAAAAAAAAGAGAUCGGGGCCAAACUAUGAGAGUUGUAAGCCGGAGGGGCUAGAUUGUGAGAGUCGUAAGCCGAGGGGGGGGAGGGGGGCCAAAUUGUGAGAGUCGUAUGCCAAAGGGCCAAAUUGUGAGAGUCGUAAGUCAAGGGGCCAUACUGUGAGAGUCGUAUGCCAAAGGGCCAAAUUAUGAGAGUCGUAAGUCAAGGCGCCAUAUUGUGAGAGUCGUAAGCCGAGGGGCCAGAUUGUGAGAGUCGUAAGCCGAGGUAAGCUUAGUGCUACUUCUUUGUUUUUUUUACUUUUAUUAUUUAUUUAUGAAGAAUUAUGAUUGAGAGAAGUAUUGUUGAAAUUAUGAUUAGAAUAUUGUAGAAUAUAACUUUGGAUUGACCAUUUUGGAGAAAAUCUGUGAACUUGAGAAUUGAGAUUAUCGAAUUGUGUUGUGUUAAAUGAAGAUAUUAAAUUUUGUGUAAUGAAUUGAAAAACUGAAUAUAAUAAGUAAGCUGGAGAUCAGUAAUUUAAUAUAUAAACCACAAA